GCCACUUCCUCUACGAGCCAUCUUUGCGACAGCCCAGCAGUUCUUGUUCAGUCAGAAUGGAUGUGUCAGUUUAUCACCAGCUCGUUUAGUUAGAGAAAAUGUUAAUAUAAUGCAUGUAGAAAGCUGGACCAGAUAUUUACCAGCCUUAAACAAGCCAAAGUAUCUGUCCCAUACCACGGUGAGGGACGAAGUAGUUAAGGUAACAGUGGGGGCUCAUGGCUGUGGAAGACGAAGUUAGUUUGAUUACUGGAGGAUACAUUUACAUUUUAAGGACAUGAUACGAAACGUAAGGGAAACAGCUGUCCUUAUUUACAGAGUUCAUAUGCAUAUAUUGUGUAUUGACAUUUUUCUAUAGGCAUAAGACUGAAUUGUGUGGCACUUUAUGGACAUUGCCCGUGUAUUUUGAUGUCUCCUGCUAUGAUGUGACCUAUCAGGGAUCUGUGAGGUGAAUGUGCUAAAAUGAGGGGUGUUUUCCUGGGUUUCUUUAUCGGUGUGUCUUGUGCUGGAGUGAUAUUAAGGGUUUAAUUAUCAUCCAGCGUGGGGGUUGUGUUACCGGCAUGAGCAGUUGCCGCUUCUCCCAUCCACUGGGCGGCAGUGUUGCUCCCUGUAAUAUGAUAAAUAUUUCAUAGUAUAGCAUGAUAAAAAUGUCAAGGUCUAGUAUGUUUUAAAAAUAUUUUAGUAGAGUAUAAUGAAAAUGUCAUUGUAAACUAUGUUAUAAAAUGUCAUAGUAUAGUAUGAAAAAAUAUAGUAUAGUAUGAUAAAAAUGUCAUAGUAUUGUAUGUAAAAAAUUCAAAUUCAAGUGUGUGAAAAAAAUUUUUUCAGGUUUUUGUAUGAAAAAAAAUAUUAUAGUAUACUAUGAUCAAAAUGUCAUAUUAUAGUAUGAUUAAAAUUUGAAAAAAAUGUCAUAUUUUAGUAUUUAAAAAAUACCAUAGUAUAGUAUGUUAAAAAUGUCAUAUUUUAGUGUGGAUUUUUUUUUUCCUAUUUUAGUAAAUAAACAAUACAUAGUAUAGUAUGAUAAAAAUGUCAUUCUCAGUAUGGAAAAAAGUCAUACUUUAGUAUGAUGAAUGUCAUAGUAUAGUAUGAUACAAAUUUCAUAUUUCAGUAUGAAAAAAUUCAUAGUUUACUAUACUAUACUAUUUCAUGAUAAAAAUGAAAUGUUGAAAAAUGUCAUACUAUAGUAUGAUAAAAAUGUAAAAGAAUAAUAUGAUGAAUUUUUUAAGGUAGUGCAUGAUCAAAAAUGUCAAGGUAUAGUAUGUUAAAAAAUGUCAUAGUAUAGUAUGAUAAAAAUGUCAGUAAAGUAUGUUAUAAAAUGUCAUGGUAUAGUAUGAUAAAAAUAUCAUACUUUAGUUUAAUAAAAAAAGUCACAAACUAGUCUGUUAUAAAAUGUCAAUGCAUAGUAUGUUAAAAAAAUGAAUAGUAAUAAAAAUAUGUUAUUAUAUAGUGUGAUUAAAAAUGUCAUAGUAUAAUAUGAAAAAAUGUCUAGUAUAGUAUGUAAAAAAAUUCAAAUUCAAGUGUGAAAAUUUAUUUUCAUGUUUUUGUAUGAAAAAAUAUCAUUGUAUACUAUGAUCAAAAUGUCAUAUUAUAGCAUAAUUAAAAUUUCAUUUUUUAGCAUUAAAAAAUGUCAAAGUACCCUAAAAAAAAUUUCAAAGCAAAGUAUCAUAAAAAUGUCAUAGUAUAGUAUGUAAAAACAUUCAAAUUAUUGUGUGAAAAAAAUAUCAUAUUUAAGUAUUUAAAAAGAUACCAUAGUAUAGUAUGAUAAAAAUGUCAAUGUUAAGUAUGUUAUAAAAUGUCAUGGUAAAGUAUGAUAAAAAUAUCAUCAAUAUCAAGUUUGAUAAAAAAAAAACCUCACAAAAUAGUAUGUUAAAAAACGUCAAUGCAGAGUAUGUUUAAAAAAUUUUAGUUAUAAAAAUAUGUUAUUCGAUAGUAUGAUUUAAAAUGCCAUAGUACUGUAUGAAAAAAUAUCAUAGUAUAGUAUGAUAAAACUGUCACAGUAUAGUAUGUAAAAAAUUCAAAUUCAAGGGUGAAAUUUAAUUUUCAUGUUUUUGUAUGAAAAAAUAGCAUAGUAUACUAUGAUCAAAACGACAUAUUAUAGUAUGAUUUUAGUUUCAUUUUUAGCAUUGAAAAAAUAUCAUAGUAUCUAAAAGUAUCUAAAAAAAUGUCAAAGUAUAGUAUCAUAAAAAUGUCAUAGUAUAGUAUGUGAAAACAUUUAAAUUAUACUAUGAAAAAUAUUAUAUUUUAGUUUUUAAUAAAAUACCAUAAUUUAGAAUGAUAAAUAUUUCAUAGAAUAGUAUGUUAAAAAUGUCAUAGUAUAGUAUGAUAAAAAUGUCAUAAUGUCAAGUUUGAUAAAAAAAAACCUCACAAAAUAGUAUGUUAAAAAACGUCAAUGCAGAGUAUGUUUAAAAAUUUUAGUUAUAAAAAUAUGUUAUUCGAUAGUAUGAUUUAAAAUGCCAUAGUACUGUAUGAAAAAAUAGCAUAGUAUAGUAUGAUCAAAACGACAUAUUAUAGUAUGAUUUUAGUUUCAUUUUUAGCAUUGAAAAAAUAUCAUAGUAUCUAAAAGUAUCUAAAAAAAUGAUAAAGUAUAGUAUCAUAAAAAUGUCAUAGUAUAGUAUGUGAAAAAUUUAAAUUAUACUAUGAAAAAUAUUAUAUUUUAGUUUUUAAUAAAAUACCAUAAUUUAGAAUGAUAAAUAUUUCAUAGAAUAGUAUGUUAAAAAUGUCAUAGUAUAGUAUGAUAAAAAUGUCAUAGUUUAGUGUGAUAAAAAAAUGUCAUAGUAUAGUUUGUUAAAAAAAAUGUCAUAGUAUAAUAUAUUUUUUAAAUGUCAUAGUUAAGUAUUAUAAAAAUAUCAUAGUAUAGUAGCAUAAAAACUGUCACAGUAUGGCAUUUUAAUAAUUGUUUAGUAUGAUAAAAAUGUCAUGGUUAAGCAUGUUAACAAAAAUGCCAUAGUAUAGCAAGUUAAAAAAAAUUCAUAGUAUUGUGACAACCCUCAUGCCUAGCCAGGACUUACUGUUUGUUCCUUUUUCAGGUUUUUCUUGUUUCUUUUGCAGGUUGCUGGUAGGCGGGGUUCAACCGCACCUGCUUGUUCCUGGCCAGUCUCCCAGGGUAUAAAAGACUUGACUGCCGACCCUCUCCUUCUCUCUCAUCCUUACCUGAUGCUCCAUGUUGCCAAAGGGUUUUGUUCAGUUGGCUCCAGCUUUCUUUGGACUUUGGUUUUACACCUAACAACAUUUCUGCACAUAUACAUUUUUCACUCAUCCAACAUCAGACACACUGAAUAACUGACGCACACACUUCAUCCAUUUUGUUGCAAAAACUUUUAUUUUGAAAUAAAUCAUUUUAUUUGAAGUUGA
RNAcentral lists this long non-coding RNA (3345 nucleotides) under Xyrichtys novacula (pearly razorfish). Lineage: Eukaryota; Metazoa; Chordata; Actinopteri; Labriformes; Labridae. The record is from RNAcentral.